RNAcentral lists this ribosomal RNA (467 nucleotides) under uncultured bacterium. RNAcentral describes it as "partial 16S ribosomal RNA". It matches the Rfam family "Bacterial small subunit ribosomal RNA", at positions 28 to 506 of the family's 1533-position model. The record is from RNAcentral.
GACGAACGCUGGCGGCGUGCUUAACACAUGCAAGUCGAACGGAAAGGCCCUGCUUUUGUGGGGUGCUCGAGUGGCGAACGGGUGAGUAACACGUGAGUAACCUGCCCUUGACUUUGGGAUAACUUCAGGAAACUGGGGCUAAUACCGGAUAGGAGCUCCUGCUGCAUGGUGGGGGUUGGAAAGUUUCGGCGGUUGGGGAUGGACUCGCGGCUUAUCAGCUUGUUGGUGGGGUAGUGGCUUACCAAGGCUUUGACGGGUAGCCGGCCUGAGAGGGUGACCGGCCACAUUGGGACUGAGAUACGGCCCAGACUCCUACGGGAGGCAGCAGUGGGGAAUAUUGCACAAUGGGCGGAAGCCUGAUGCAGCAACGCCGCGUGCGGAAUGACGGCCUUCGGGUUGUAAACCGCUUUCGCCUGUGACGAAGCGUGAGUGACGGUAAUGGGUAAAGAAGCACCGGCUAACUACGU